This 253-nucleotide ribosomal RNA is filed under the name uncultured bacterium. RNAcentral describes it as "partial 16S ribosomal RNA". It matches the Rfam family "Bacterial small subunit ribosomal RNA", at positions 524 to 776 of the family's 1533-position model. The record is from RNAcentral.
UACGUAGGGGGCAAGCGUUGUCCGGAAUUACUGGGCGUAAAGCGUGCGCAGGCGGUUUUGUAAGUCUGUUGUGAAAUCCCCGGGCUUAACCUGGGAAUGGCAAUGGAGACUGCAAGGCUAGAGUUUGGCAGAGGGGGGUAGAAUUCCACGUGUAGCAGUGAAAUGCGUAGAGAUGUGGAGGAACACCGAUGGCGAAGGCAGCCCCCUGGGUCAAGACUGACGCUCAUGCACGAAAGCGUGGGGAGCAAACAGG